Arabidopsis thaliana (thale cress) is the source of this 351-nucleotide long non-coding RNA. RefSeq annotates it as other RNA. The record is from RefSeq. The transcript has a single exon. Lineage: Eukaryota; Viridiplantae; Streptophyta; Magnoliopsida; Brassicales; Brassicaceae.
AUUUCAUUUGAUUGUUGAGGAACAAAAGUUGGUUAUAUAAGUGAGAACUUUUUGCUUUUUGGGUUUCAAUUGAAUAAAAACAAAAAGUUGUCGUCGAUCUGUGAAAUUCAAUUUAUAUCUAUAGAGAGCAUUUCUUCUAUUUAUUGGGCCAGUUCUUAGUGGCCCAAUAACAAAAAGCCCAAUAACCCUAUUGGAGAACUGUAUUACUCUACAGUCAUGAGAAACACCGCUCAAUUCAUCACCGGAAUUAACAAAAAGAGUUUGAAAUUCAGAAUUGUCAUCUUUUGUUUCGAUCGGAUUCCUUAUUCGUGUAUCUUCUCCGAUUCGAUGGGAAUUGGCUCUCAUGGCAAU